Long non-coding RNA from Alosa alosa (allis shad), 665 nucleotides. RefSeq lists it as uncharacterized. NCBI's taxonomy places the organism in Eukaryota, Metazoa, Chordata, Actinopteri, Clupeiformes, Clupeidae. The record is from RefSeq and is a predicted model, not a curated record. The transcript is spliced from 3 exons.
CUGCUAUGAAUGUGUUAUGAACUCACCCGUCAAGUAAACUGUUACCGUUUUAUGUCCUCCAGUGUCCCUGUCACAGCCCAUCAUCUCUAUAAGGGCCCCAGAGGGAGAGCUGGUCUUGGGGCCCCUCGGCCCAGAGGUCCCCUGGGGCCAAAGCUUCUCCAUCGUCUGCACCACAGAGCCACAGGAGUACCAAGGAGGCUCUUUCCACCUCACCUCUGAUGGGUCAGCUGAGAUCUGGACUGAGCUGGCUGUCAAUCACUCUGCAUCUUUCUACUUUCCUAAGGCAGAGUUUAUCCUUGCAGGGAACUACAGCUGCAUCUAUGAGGUCACUUUGGCCACACGUCUGUUCACCUCAGGAACGACAGAUGUGCUUUGUGUGAUCAUAAGAGCACUGACUUGGAGUGGUCUCACCAUAUAGCAUCUGCACAUCCCUCUGUGUUGUAUGGAGCAACACUUGGGCUGUUGUUUCUCCUGAUGCUUCUGUGCUCAGUGCUACUGUUGAACAAAAAGAAGGCUAAAUAUGUGGUCAAUGAGGAGCACUGGCCCAUGAGUUCAUUUGAAGUACCGCAGAGUUCAUACCAUAUGAAGACAAAGAAGAUACCAAAUCCGAUGGAUGAAGAACAUGUCCUCCAUUAAUUUUCAUUGUUAGCUGACCUCAGUAUAUA